UAUUGGUCAAUGGGCGCGAGCCUGAACCAGCCAAGUCGCGUGAGGGAAGACGGCCCUAUGGAUUGUAAACCUCUUUUGUCGGGGAGCAAAAGACGCCACGCGUGGCGUUCCGAGAGUACCCGAAGAAAAAGCAUCGGCUAACUCCGUGCCAGCCGCCGCGGUAAUACGGAGGAUGCGCGCGUUAUCCGGAUUUAUUGGGUUUAAAGGGUGCGCAGGCGGCGAGUUAAGUCAGCGGUAAAAUUUCGGGGCUCAACCCCGACAAGCCGUUGAAACUGGCUUGCUAGAGUGGGCGAGAAGUAUGCGGAAUGCGUGGUGUAGCGGUGAAAUGCAUAGAUAUCACGCAGAACUCCGAUUGCGAAGGCAGCAUACCGGCGCACAACUGACGCUCAGGCACGAAAGCGUGGGUAUCGAACAGG
RNAcentral lists this ribosomal RNA (416 nucleotides) under uncultured bacterium. Its description in RNAcentral is "bacterial SSU rRNA". It matches the Rfam family "Bacterial small subunit ribosomal RNA", at positions 362 to 776 of the family's 1533-position model. The record is from RNAcentral.